AUUGAACGCUGGCGGCAUGCCUUACACAUGCAAGUCGAACGGUAACGGGCCUUCGGGUGCCGACGAGUGGCGAACGGGUGAGUAAUGCAUCGGAACGUACCUUUCAGUGGGGGAUAACGUAGCGAAAGUUACGCUAAUACCGCAUAUUCUGUGAGCAGGAAAGCAGGGGAUCGCAAGACCUUGCGCUGAUUGAGCGGCCGAUGUCAGAUUAGCUAGUUGGUAGUGUAACGGACUACCAAGGCGAUGAUCAGUAGGGGGCGUGAGAGCGUGACCCCCCCANACGGGUACUGAGACACGGACCCGACUCCUACGGGAGGCAGCAGUAAGGAAUAUUGGUCAAUGCCCGGAAGGGUGAACCAGCCAUCCCGCGUGAAGGAUGAAGGGGCUCUGCCUUGUAAACUUCUUUUAGUAUGGGGGCGAAAAAAGGGGAUUUAUCCUCGACGUGACGGUACCAUAAGAAUAAGCACCGGCUAACUCCGUGCCAGCAGACGCGGUAAUGUAGUCGUGU
Molecule: ribosomal RNA, 508 nt
Filed under: uncultured bacterium
Lineage: Bacteria
Description: bacterial SSU rRNA
Rfam family: Bacterial small subunit ribosomal RNA
Source: RNAcentral